GACUAACGCUGGCGGCGUGCCUAAUACAUGCAAGUCGAACGGGAUUCUUUGAUCAGCUUGCUGAGAGAAGGAUCUAGUGGCGGACGGGUGAGUAACGCGUGGGAAUCUGCCUCUUACUGGGGGAUAACAGUGGGAAACUACUGCUAAUACCGCAUAAGAUCUUCGGAUGAAAGGUGCAACUGCACCGGUAAGAGAAAUGAGCCCGCGUCCCAUUAGCUAGUUGGUGAGGUAAAGGCUCACCAAGGCGACGAUGGGUAGCCGGCCUGAGAGGGUGAACGGCCACACUGGGACUGAGACACGGCCCAGACUCCUACGGGAGGCAGCAGUAGGGAAUCUUCCGCAAUGGGCGCAAGCCUGACGGAGCGACGCCGCGUGAGUGAUGAAGGCCUUGGGUCGUAAAGGCUCUGUUCUUGUAGGACGAAUAAGACCAGGGAGUGGAAAGCCCUGGUGAUGACUGUACUCAAGGAGAAAGCUCCGGCUAACUACGUGC
RNAcentral lists this ribosomal RNA (490 nucleotides) under uncultured bacterium. Its description in RNAcentral is "bacterial SSU rRNA". It matches the Rfam family "Bacterial small subunit ribosomal RNA", at positions 28 to 508 of the family's 1533-position model. The record is from RNAcentral.